RNAcentral lists this unclassified non-coding RNA (319 nucleotides) under plant metagenome. Its description in RNAcentral is "partial contains 5.8S ribosomal RNA, internal transcribed spacer 2, and large subunit ribosomal RNA". The stretch from base 1 to 104 matches the Rfam family "5.8S ribosomal RNA", at positions 51 to 154 of the family's 154-position model. The record is from RNAcentral.
AAAUGCGAUAAGUAAUGUGAAUUGCAGAAUUCAGUGAAUCAUCGAAUCCUUGAACGCACAUUGCGCCCGCCAGUAUUCUGGCGGGCAUGCCUGUUCGAGCGUCAUUACAACCCUCAGGCCCCCGGGCCUGGCGUUGGGGAUCGGCGGAAGCCCCCUGCGGGCACAACGCCGUCCCCCAAAUACAGUGGCGGUCCCGCCGCAGCUUCCAUUGCGUAGUAGCUAACACCUCGCAACUGGAGAGCGGCGCGGCCACGCCGUAAAACACCCAACUUCUGAAUGUUGACCUCGAAUCAGGUAGGAAUACCCGCUGAACUUAAGC